This 253-nucleotide ribosomal RNA is filed under the name uncultured bacterium. RNAcentral describes it as "partial 16S ribosomal RNA". It matches the Rfam family "Bacterial small subunit ribosomal RNA", at positions 524 to 776 of the family's 1533-position model. The record is from RNAcentral.
UACGUAGGUGGCAAGCGUUGUCCGGAUUUACUGGGCGUAAAGAGCGCGCAGGCGGUCGUCCAAGUCGCGUGUGAAAGCCCCCGGCUCAACUGGGGAGGGUCACGCGAUACUGGUCGACUCGAAGGCAGGAGAGGGUAGUGGAAUUCCCGGUGUAGUGGUGAAAUGCGCAGAUAUCGGGAGGAACACCUAUGGCGAAGGCAGCUCGCUGGGACGUUACUGACGCUGAGACGCGAAAGCGUGGGGAGCAAGCAGG